GACGAACGCUGGCGGCGUGCCUAACACAUGCAAGUCGAACGGAAAGGCCCUGCGUUUGUGCUCUACCCGAUGGGCGAUCGGGUGCGUAACAGGUGUUUAACCUGCUCUAGACUUUCGGAUAGCUUCAGGUAACUAGGGUUAAUACCAGAUAGCAUCUCCUGUUGUUGUGUGGGGCUUGGAAAUUUGCGGCGGUUGGGGAUGGACUCGCGGCUUAAGCGCUCGUUGGUGGGGUAGUGGCUUACCAAGGCAUCGACGGAUAGCCGGCCUGAGAGGGUGACCGGCCACAGUGGGACUGAGGUAGGGCCCAGAGGCAUACGGGAGGCAGGAGUGGGAAAUAUUGCACAAUGGGCGGAGGGCUGAUGCAGCGUCGUCGGGUGGGUGAUGACGGUUUUAGGGUAGUAAACCGCUUUAGCCUGUGACGCAGCGUGUGUGACGGUAAUGGAUAAAGAAGCACCGGCUAACUACGUG
RNAcentral lists this ribosomal RNA (468 nucleotides) under uncultured bacterium. RNAcentral's name for it is "partial 16S ribosomal RNA". It matches the Rfam family "Bacterial small subunit ribosomal RNA", at positions 28 to 507 of the family's 1533-position model. The record is from RNAcentral.